Molecule: unclassified non-coding RNA, 228 nt
Filed under: Hevea brasiliensis (rubber tree)
Lineage: Eukaryota; Viridiplantae; Streptophyta; Magnoliopsida; Malpighiales; Euphorbiaceae
Source: RNAcentral
AGAAAACUCAACCAGCAAAAACAUAGACAUGAAAUAAUACUCGAUCAGUUUUCACUAUCUUCAAGAGUAUUUCACUUUCCAUUUCUCCAACCUCUAGAUAACAGACAAUUCCAAUUAAACCUGGUCAUAACAACAGCCACUCUCAAAUUUCUUGAGACAAAUUUAACCUAACCAUGAAUCAUAUCAUAUAAUUCACCUCUGCACAUUAUCCUUCCACCCAAAUUAUAA